Molecule: small nuclear RNA, 141 nt
Organism: Papio anubis (olive baboon)
Lineage: Eukaryota; Metazoa; Chordata; Mammalia; Primates; Cercopithecidae
Gene: U2
Rfam family: U2 spliceosomal RNA
About the family: U2 is a small nuclear RNA (snRNA) component of the spliceosome (involved in pre-mRNA splicing). Complementary binding between U2 snRNA (in an area lying towards the 5' end but 3' to hairpin I) and the branchpoint sequence (BPS) of the intron results the bulging out of an unpaired adenosine, on the BPS, which initiates a nucleophilic attack at the intronic 5' splice site, thus starting the first of two transesterification reactions that mediate splicing.
Source: Ensembl
AUGGCUUCUUGGCCUUUUGGCUAAGAUCAAGUGUAGUAUCUGUUCUUAUCCAUUUAAAAGACAAUGUACCAUAAUACCUGAGGAAGGACAUAUAUUUUAUAAUAACAUAAAUACAUGUUCUCAAAUAAAAAUUAAGCCUUC